RNAcentral lists this ribosomal RNA (491 nucleotides) under uncultured bacterium. RNAcentral describes it as "partial 16S ribosomal RNA". It matches the Rfam family "Bacterial small subunit ribosomal RNA", at positions 29 to 507 of the family's 1533-position model. The record is from RNAcentral.
AGUGAACGCUGGCGGUAGGCCUAACACAUGCAAGUCGAACGGCAGCACAGUAAGAGCUUGCUCUUACGGGUGGCGAGUGGCGGACGGGUGAGAAAUACAUCGGAAUCUACUUUUUCGUGGGGGAUAACGUAGGGAAACUUACGCUAAUACCGCAUACGACCUACGGGUGAAAGCAGGGGAUCUUCGGACCUUGCGCGAUUGAAUGAGCCGAUGUCGGAUUAGCUAGUUGGCGGGGUAAAGGCCCACCAAGGCGACGAUCCGUAGCUGGUCUGAGAGGAUGAUCAGCCACACUGGAACUGAGACACGGUCCAGACUCCUACGGAGGCAGCAGUGGGGAAUAUUGGACAAUGGGCGCAAGCCUGAUCCAGCCAUACCGCGUGGGUGAAGAAGGCCUUCGGGUUGUAAAGCCCUUUUGUUGGGAAAGAAAAGCAGCAGGUUAAUACCCCGCUGUUCUGACGGUACCCAAAGAAUAAGCACCGGCUAACUUCGUG